This 578-nucleotide long non-coding RNA is filed under the name Oryctolagus cuniculus (rabbit). RNAcentral's name for it is "lncRNA (ENSOCUG00000033255.1)". Lineage: Eukaryota; Metazoa; Chordata; Mammalia; Lagomorpha; Leporidae. The record is from RNAcentral.
GUUAAAUCUGGGAACUAGGACCUGUUCAUUCUUAAGGUUUGAAUCCAGGAUGGCUGUGGGAUGGCUGUUGUUACUCCGAGGAGAGAUGCAGGUGAUCCCGCUGGUGGGAGAAAAGAAGAGGAAGAAGAGGACUUGGAGAAACAAUAAUCGUCUUGGGUGGAUGGACUUUGGCAUGGAGGAGGGCUCUGAAAUGAGUCUCAGGCUGUGCUACACUCCUGCCAGUGUGAGCUUCCUGUGGCGCCUUGACCAGCCUGGGGUGACAAGACCAGUAGUGUCAGCAGAUGGUGAUCUGGCUGUGGCUCUGAAGAUCUGGCGUGCGAUGUGAUUGGCCCCUGCAUUCGGUUGACUUAAAGAAGGAGGUUGCCUUGUUUGUGUGUGUUGGGGGCCGAGAGCAGGGAGGGAUGUGGGCAAGGGGCUUAUCUAAUCAGCUGGAGUCUGCAGAGCGAAAACAGAAGAGGAGAUUCUGCUUCAGGACAACGCAUCCACCCCUGCCUGGGGUUUGCAGGCCUGGGCCCCAGCAACUUAAGGCUGGGGCCUUAAUUCCUUCCAAUAAACCUCUUUAGUUCUGUGUAUUUGCA